RNAcentral lists this ribosomal RNA (253 nucleotides) under uncultured bacterium. RNAcentral's name for it is "partial 16S ribosomal RNA". It matches the Rfam family "Bacterial small subunit ribosomal RNA", at positions 524 to 776 of the family's 1533-position model. The record is from RNAcentral.
AACGUGGGACACAAGCGUUAUCCGGAGUUACUGGGCGUAAAGGGCGUGUAGGUGGUUUGUUAAGUCUGAUGUGAAAGCCCUGGGCUCAACCUGGGAAUUGCAUUGGAUACUGGCAGGCUAGAGUGCGGUAGAGGGUAGUGGAAUUCCCGGUGUAGCAGUGAAAUGCGUAGAGAUCGGGAGGAACAUCCGUGGCGAAGGCGACUACCUGGACCAGCACUGACACUGAGGCACGAAAGCGUGGGGAGCAAACAGG